AAUCAACGCUGGCGGCGUGCCUCAGACAUGCAAGUCGAACGCGAAAGUCCCCUUCGGGGGGCGAGUAGAGUGGCGCACGGGUGAGUAACACGUAGGUAAUCUACCUUUGGAUUGGGAAUAACCACCGGAAACGGUGGCUAAUACCGAAUAAUGCAGCGGCACCUAAUGGUGACAGUUGUUAAAGCGGGGGAUCGCAAGACCUCGCGUCUGAAGAGGAGCCUGCGGCAGAUUAGCUAGUUGGUAAGGUAACGGCUUACCAAGGCGAUGAUCUGUAGCCGGCCUGAGAGGGCGGUCGGCCACACUGACACUGACAUACGGGUCAGACUCCUACGGGAGGCAGCAGUCGGGAAUUUUGGGCAAUGGGCGAAAGCCUGACCCAGCAACGCCGCGUGAAGGAUGAAAUCCUUCGGGAUGUAAACUUCGCAAGAACGGGAAGAAUAAGUAAGAGUUAAUAUCUCUUACGAUGACGGUACUGUUUGUAAGCUCCGGCUAACUCCGUGC
RNAcentral lists this ribosomal RNA (501 nucleotides) under uncultured bacterium. RNAcentral's name for it is "bacterial SSU rRNA". It matches the Rfam family "Bacterial small subunit ribosomal RNA", at positions 32 to 508 of the family's 1533-position model. The record is from RNAcentral.